UGACAUUAGAUACCCGCGUAGUCCCAGCCGUAAACAAUGUGCGUUAGGUGUGUCGGUAACCACGCGUUACUGAUGCGCCGAAGAGAAAUCGUGAAACGCACCACCUGGGAAGUACGGUCGCAAGGCUGAAACUUAAAGGAAUUGGCGGGGAGCACCACAACAGGUGGAGCCUGCGGUUUAAUUGGAUUCAACGCCGGACAUCUCACCGGAUAAGACAGCUGAAUGAUUGUCAAUCUGAAGGUUUUACAUGACUAGCUG
This 258-nucleotide ribosomal RNA is filed under the name uncultured archaeon. RNAcentral's name for it is "partial 16S ribosomal RNA". It matches the Rfam family "Archaeal small subunit ribosomal RNA", at positions 725 to 982 of the family's 1478-position model. The record is from RNAcentral.